GACGAACGCUGGCGGCGUGCUUAACACAUGCAAGUCGAACGGAAAGGCCCUGCUUUUGUGGGGUGCUCGAGUGGCGAACGGGUGAGUAACACGUGAGUAACCUGCCCUUGACCUUGGGAUAACUUCAGGAAACUGGGGCUAAUACCGGAUAGGAGCUCCUGCUGCAUGGUGGGGGUUGGAAAGUUUCGGCGGUUGGGGAUGGACUCGCGGCUUAUCAGCUUGUUGGUGGGGUAGUGGCUUACCAAGGCUUUGACGGGUAGCCGGCCUGAGAGGGUGACCGGCCCCAUUGGGCCUGGGAUCAGGCCCAGCCCCCACCGGGGGGGAGGGGUGGGGAAUUUUGCAAAAGGGGCGGAAGCCGGAUGCAGCAACCCCGGGGGGGGGAGGACGGCCUUCGGGUUGUAAACCGCUUUCCCUUGUGACGAAGGGUGAGGGACGGUAAUGGGUAAAGAAGCACCGGCUAACUACGU
This 467-nucleotide ribosomal RNA is filed under the name uncultured bacterium. Its description in RNAcentral is "partial 16S ribosomal RNA". It matches the Rfam family "Bacterial small subunit ribosomal RNA", at positions 28 to 506 of the family's 1533-position model. The record is from RNAcentral.